AAUUAAUACCAAUAGAAGGGCAAUGCUUUUAGAUUAAAAUGAAGGUGACUUAAACAGCUUAAAGUUUAGUUUAAAAGUUGUAGGUGAUUAAAAUAAUUUGAAGGCGAUCUUUUAAAAAGAGAUUAAACCGAAGGUGAUUAAAAGACCUUGAAAUCCAUGACGCAGGGAGAAUUGCGUCAUUUAAAGCCUAGUUAACGCAUUUACUAAACGCAGACGAAAAUGGAAAGAUUAAUUGGGAGUGGUAGGAUGAAACAAUUUGGAGAAGAUAGAAGUUUGAAGUGGAAAACUGGAAGACAGAAGUACGGGAAGGCGAAGAAAAGAAUAGAGAAGAUAGGGAAAUUAGAAGAUAAAAACAUACUUUUAGAAGAAAAAAGAUAAAUUUAAACCUGAAAAGUAGGAAGCAGAAGAAAAAAGACAAGCUAGGAAACAAAAAGCUAAGGGCAAAAUGUACAAACUUAGAAGAAAAUUGGAAGAUAGAAACAAGAUAGAAAAUGAAAAUAUUGUCAAGAGUUUCAGAUAGAAAAUGAAAAACAAGCUAAGACAAGUAUUGGAGAAGUAUAGAAGAUAGAAAAAUAUAAAGCCAAAAAUUGGAUAAAAUAGCACUGAAAAAAUGAGGAAAUUAUUGGUAACCAAUUUAUUUUAAAAGCCCAUCAAUUUAAUUUCUGGUGGUGCAGAAGUUAGAAGGUAAAGCUUGAGAAGAUGAGGGUGUUUACGUAGACCAGAACCAAUUUAGAAGAAUACUUGAAGCUAGAAGGGGAAGUUGGUUAAAAAUCACAUCAAAAAGCUACUAAAAGGACUGGUGUAAUUUAAAAAAAACUAAGGCAGAAGGCUUUUGGAAGAGUUAGAAGAAUUUGGAAGGCCUUAAAUAUAGUAGCUUAGUUUGAAAAAUGUGAAGGACUUUCGUAACGGAAGUAAUUCAAGAUCAAGAGUAAUUACCAACUUAAUGUUUUUGCAUUGGACUUUGAGUUAAGAUUAUUUUUUAAAUCCUGAGGACUAGCAUUAAUUGACAGCUGACCCAGGUGCUACACAGAAGUGGAUUCAGUGAAUCUAGGAAGACAGCAGCAGACAGGAUUCCAGGAACCAGUGUUUGAUGAAGCUAGGACUGAGGAGCAAGCGAGCAAGCAGCAGUUCGUGGUGAAGAUAGGAAAAGAGUCCAGGAGCCAGUGCGAUUUGGUGAAGGAAGCUAGGAAGAAGGAAGGAGCGCUAACGAUUUGGUGGUGAAGCUAGGAAAAAGGAUUCCAGGAAGGAGCGAGUGCAAUUUGGUGAUGAAGGUAGCAGGCGGCUUGGCUUGGCAACCACACGGAGGAGGCGAGCAGGCGUUGUGCGUAGAGGAUCCUAGACCAGCAUGCCAGUGUGCCAAGGCCACAGGGAAAGCGAGUGGUUGGUAAAAAUCCGUGAGGUCGGCAAUAUGUUGUUUUUCUGGAACUUACUUAUGGUAACCUUUUAUUUAUUUUCUAAUAUAAUGGGGGAGUUUCGUACUGAGGUGUAAAGGGAUUUAUAUGGGGACGUAGGCCGAUUUCCGGGUGUUGUAGGUUUCUCUUUUUCAGGCUUAUACUCAUGAAUCUUGUCUGAAGCUUUUGAGGGCAGACUGCCAAGUCCUGGAGAAAUAGUAGAUGGCAAGUUUGUGGGUUUUUUUUUUUUACACGAAUUUGAGGAAAACCAAAUGAAUUUGAUAGCCAAAUUGAGACAAUUUCAGCAAAUCUGUAAGCAGUUUGUAUGUUUAGUUGGGGUAAUGAAGUAUUUCAGUUUUGUGAAUAGAUGACCUGUUUUUACUUCCUCACCCUGAAUUCGUUUUGUAAAUGUAGAGUUUGGAUGUGUAACUGAGGCGGGGGGGAGUUUUCAGUAUUUUUUUUUGUGGGGGUGGGGGCAAAAUAUGUUUUCAGUUCUUUUUCCCUUAGGUCUGUCUAGAAUCCUAAAGGCAAAUGACUCAAGGUGUAACAGAAAACAAGAAAAUCCAAUAUCAGGAUAAUCAGACCACCACAGGUUUACAGUUUAUAGAAACUAGAGCAGUUCUCACGUUGAGGUCUGUGGAAGAGAUGUCCAUUGGAGAAAUGGCUGGUAGUUACUCUUUUUUCCCCCCACCCCCUUAAUCAGACUUUAAAAGUGCUUAACCCCUUAAACUUGUUAUUUUUUACUUGAAGCAUUUUGGGAUGGUCUUAACAGGGAAGAGAGAGGGUGGGGGAGAAAAUGUUUUUUUCUAAGAUUUUCCACAGAUGCUAUAGUACUAUUGACAAACUGGGUUAGAGAAGGAGUGUACCGCUGUGCUGUUGGCACGAACACCUUCAGGGACUGGAGCUGCUUUUAUCCUUGGAAGAGUAUUCCCAGUUGAAGCUGAAAAGUACAGCACAGUGCAGCUUUGGUUCAUAUUCAGUCAUCUCAGGAGAACUUCAGAAGAGCUUGAGUAGGCCAAAUGUUGAAGUUAAGUUUUCCAAUAAUGUGACUUCUUAAAAGUUUUAUUAAAGGGGAGGGGCAAAUAUUGGCAAUUAGUUGGCAGUGGCCUGUUACGGUUGGGAUUGGUGGGGUGGGUUUAGGUAAUUGUUUAGUUUAUGAUUGCAGAUAAACUCAUGCCAGAGAACUUAAAGUCUUAGAAUGGAAAAAGUAAAGAAAUAUCAACUUCCAAGUUGGCAAGUAACUCCCAAUGAUUUAGUUUUUUUCCCCCCAGUUUGAAUUGGGAAGCUGGGGGAAGU
RNAcentral lists this long non-coding RNA (2687 nucleotides) under Homo sapiens (human). RNAcentral describes it as "HSALNT0363322". The record is from RNAcentral. Lineage: Eukaryota; Metazoa; Chordata; Mammalia; Primates; Hominidae.